This 318-nucleotide long non-coding RNA is filed under the name Elaeis guineensis (African oil palm). RNAcentral describes it as "long non-coding RNA (EGUI_LNC021724)". Lineage: Eukaryota; Viridiplantae; Streptophyta; Magnoliopsida; Arecales; Arecaceae. The record is from RNAcentral.
UGGGUCAUAGAGAAUCAUCUAUAAAUAAGGAGAGUCUUUAUCUAUGGAUGCAUAGCAAUUAGAUUGUGAGAAAGAAAGAAAGAAAGAGAGAGGCAUGAGAGAGCUUGUGGGCGUUACCCUUAGGCGUCCUCCUUCUUGCCACCCCUCCUCCUCCUUGCCAUGGGCUCCAUUGUGGGCGUCUCCUUACUGGUGUGAGGCAUCACACCAGCAGCUAUUUCUCCUCCCUCGAUGGCCUUGCGAAAGUGCUUUAAUUCGAAGCUUCAUCCCGCUUUCCUGUGGAGCUUGAUGUGCACGUGAAGUAGAGUGCUUGCAGAUCUA